This 109-nucleotide ribosomal RNA is filed under the name Peromyscus maniculatus bairdii (prairie deer mouse). Lineage: Eukaryota; Metazoa; Chordata; Mammalia; Rodentia; Cricetidae. The record is from RNAcentral.
GUCUACAACCAUACCACCUUAAGCAUGCCCAGUCUCAUCUGAAGUUAAGCAGGGUUGGGGCCUGAUUUGUACUCAGAUGGGAGACUAUAUGUAAACACACACACACACA